Long non-coding RNA from Carassius carassius (crucian carp), 284 nucleotides. RefSeq lists it as uncharacterized. The record is from RefSeq and is a predicted model, not a curated record. The transcript is spliced from 2 exons. Lineage: Eukaryota; Metazoa; Chordata; Actinopteri; Cypriniformes; Cyprinidae.
AACACGUUAUCGACACUGCUGUACACCAAUCGCCAAUGGUUCUGUCAAAACAGGGUGGGUUUUAUACAUUGACAGACAGUCCUAGUGAUCCAAAGAGAACGAGUACUCGGUGUUUACCCGCAUAACGGACAUAUUGCGAUCCAAUUGGAGAAGCGAAUUUAUGAUUGACACGUCAAACGCCGAAUCCAAAAUGUUCCUAAGGAGAUGACGUUCCAGAGCUAUGGGCCAAUCAUACGACGUUGUGAUGCCUCCGAAGGCGGGACCUGAUGGAGUACGGGGGGGGG